AUGGCGGCGCCGGCGGUGGAGCAGCUCGACGGGCCGGUCCAUGGCGGCGCCGGUGGUGGAGCAGCUCGAGGCGUCCGCGGCUCGGCGGUGGUAGGUCGUGGGAAGCCGCGUUGCCCAUGGUGGAGCAACUCAACGGGGCGCCGGCCAUGUCGCGGGCAGCAGAGUUGUCGGCGGUGGAGCAGCUCGACGGGCCGGUCGAUGCCGGCGCCGGCUCGAGAUGGUUGCGGUGUGGCCGGCAUCGGCGGGGAGACGGGGCUCGUCGGGCCUGUGCACCUCCUUCAUGGCGGCGGUGUGGCCGACCUCGGCGCCGGGUCUUGGUGGUGGUCCAUGGCGGCGCCGGCUCGAGGAGGUGGCGCCGGCCUCGACACGGAGGCGGGGCUCCUCCAGAUGGGCGACGGGCUCGGUCCAGGAGGAGCUGCUGCUCCUUGCCGGCCACGCCUGCUGCUCCUCCUUGCCGGCUGGCAGAGAGAUAAGGGAGAGAAGAAGGAGAGGGAGGAGGAAGAGAUAACUGACAUGUGGGCCCCACAUCUCAGUGAACGGUCAAAUGAACGGUCAAACACACGGUUCGUUUAG
This 573-nucleotide ribosomal RNA is filed under the name Triticum aestivum (bread wheat). RNAcentral describes it as "partial small subunit ribosomal RNA". Lineage: Eukaryota; Viridiplantae; Streptophyta; Magnoliopsida; Poales; Poaceae. The record is from RNAcentral.